RNAcentral lists this long non-coding RNA (227 nucleotides) under Brassica rapa (field mustard). RNAcentral describes it as "long non-coding RNA (BRAP_LNC001965)". Lineage: Eukaryota; Viridiplantae; Streptophyta; Magnoliopsida; Brassicales; Brassicaceae. The record is from RNAcentral.
UUUUUUAUAGUUUCAGAUUAUAUGUUUUCAGAUUCGAAAUUUUUACAAUUUUUUUUUUUCGAAUUUUUUUUUUCCAAAUUUUCUUUUUAUAAUUUAAAAAUACUUUUUAAAACUGUUUUUAAAAUUUUUAUUUUUUAUUUUAAUAUUUUUUUUUAUAAAAUUUUAAAUUCUAAUUCCAAAACCCCACUCCUUAACUCUAAACCCUAAAGUUUGGAUUAAUUAACCAA